UGGGGAAUUGUUCGCAAUGGGCGCAAGCCUGACGACGCAACGCCGCGUGGAGGAUGAAGACCUUCGGGUCGUAAACUCCUUUCGACCGAGAUGAAUUCCUGCCGGCCUAAUACGCCGGCGGGUUGACAGUAUCGAGGGAAGCAGCCCCGGCUAACUCCGUGCCAGCAGCCGCGGUAAUACGGGGGGGGCAAGCGUUGUUCGGAAUUACUGGGCGUAAAGGGUUCGUAGGUGGCUAGCUAAGUCAGACGUGAAAUCCCUCAGCUUAACUGGGGAACUGCGUCUGAGACUGGCGAGCUUGAGUGCAGGAGAGGAACGCGGAAUUCCAGGUGUAGCGGUGAAAUGCGUAGAUAUCUGGAGGAACACCGGUGGCGAAGGCGGCGUUCUGGACUGCAACUGACACUGAGGAACGAAAGCCAGGGGAGCAAACGGGAUUAGAUACCCCCGUAGUCC
This 450-nucleotide ribosomal RNA is filed under the name uncultured bacterium. RNAcentral's name for it is "bacterial SSU rRNA". It matches the Rfam family "Bacterial small subunit ribosomal RNA", at positions 355 to 796 of the family's 1533-position model. The record is from RNAcentral.